UCCUCAGAAGCUAGAGUAUCUUUCACAAGCUUGGUAAUACCUUCUAGGAACUCCUCACUUCCCUUCUUUCGCAGAUCUCCAGUUUCCUGUAAGAAUUUUUCCCAGACAUAAGUACGAGAAAACCCGAGUAACAUGUUGGAGUUCCCUCUCCAAUACAAGACUAACCACAGCUUGCGAGCCUGAAGAAACCAUCCAUAAAUGGGAGAAGUGAAGACAUUUUCUUGAUUGAUUCUAGAGAGAAGCCGACACUAGCAAACCAGAAACUUGAAUUUGAAUGGGUAAAGCAAACGACGAGGUACAAACCGUAAUCAGCUGCAGUAACCGGACUUCUAUCGGAUUUACUCCAUACUUGGGAUUGCAGCAGAGUCUUCUGCACCUCCUGAUUCAUUACAUUAUAAGGUUUGUUUAGUUUCAACGAUACAUGUAAGCUCCAUGCUUUGAUUUUCUAGUUCCAAAUUGUUACUGUAAUUUAUAGGUGAUAGUAUAGCUCAAUGGUGGAUAAGAAAGUAGUCGUCGUUACCUGGCUGAGACAAGCAGCUAGAGAGACGGCUUUCUUUGCAGCGGCUAGCUCCUUCUCAUAAGACAUUGAAAAGCUUCAAGACUGUUAUGUAUAUAAAAAAAAGCUUAUACUAGUAUGGUUUUAUUUAGCCAAUUUAUAGUCAUUAUUAUUA
Camelina sativa (false flax) is the source of this 671-nucleotide non-coding RNA. The record is from RefSeq and is a predicted model, not a curated record. NCBI's taxonomy places the organism in Eukaryota, Viridiplantae, Streptophyta, Magnoliopsida, Brassicales, Brassicaceae.